UACGAAGGGUGCAAGCGUUACUCGGAAUUACUGGGCGUAAAGCGUGCGUAGGUGGUUUGUUAAGUCUGAUGUGAAAGCCCUGGCUCAACCUGGGAACUGCAUUUGUGACUGUAGAGCUGGAGUGCGGCAGAGGGGAUGGAAUUCCGCGUGUAGCAGUGAAAUGCGUAGAUAUGCGGAGGAACACCGAUGGCGAAGGCAAUCCCCUGGGCCUGCACUGACGCUCAUGCACGAAAGCGUGGGGAGCAAACAGG
RNAcentral lists this ribosomal RNA (251 nucleotides) under uncultured bacterium. Its description in RNAcentral is "partial 16S ribosomal RNA". It matches the Rfam family "Bacterial small subunit ribosomal RNA", at positions 524 to 776 of the family's 1533-position model. The record is from RNAcentral.